Molecule: ribosomal RNA, 502 nt
Filed under: uncultured bacterium
Lineage: Bacteria
Description: bacterial SSU rRNA
Rfam family: Bacterial small subunit ribosomal RNA
Source: RNAcentral
UGCCUUGGUGCCUUCGGGAACGCUGAGACAGGUGCUGCAUGGCUGUCGUCAGCUCGUGUUGUGAAAUGUUGGGUUAAGUCCCGCAACGAGCGCAACCCUUAUCCUUUGUUGCCAGCGAUUCGGUCGGGAGCUCAAAGGAGACUGCCGGUGAUAAACCGGAGGAAGGUGGGGAUGACGUCAAGUCAUCAUGGCCCUUACGAGUAGGGCUACACACGUGCUACAAUGGCGCAUACAAAGAGAAGCGACCUCGCGAGAGCAAGCGGACCUCAUAAAGUGCGUCGUAGUCCGGAUCGGAGUCUGCAACUCGACUCCGUGAAGUCGGAAUCGCUAGUAAUCGUGGAUCAGAAUGCCACGGUGAAUACGUUCCCGGGCCUUGUACACACCGCCCGUCACACCAUGGGAGUGGGUUGCAAAAGAAGUAGGUAGCUUAACCCUCGGGAGGGCGCUUACCACUUUGUGAUUCAUGACUGGGGUGAAGUCGUAACAAGGUAAGCGUAGUGCU